This 858-nucleotide ribosomal RNA is filed under the name Triticum aestivum (bread wheat). Its description in RNAcentral is "partial small subunit ribosomal RNA". Lineage: Eukaryota; Viridiplantae; Streptophyta; Magnoliopsida; Poales; Poaceae. The record is from RNAcentral.
AUGGAGGCCGCGAUUGCAUGGCUGGUGCAGACCAUCCUUGCAACCCUCCUGAUCGAUAAGCUCGAUGCGUGGAUUCGGCAAGUCGGGCUUGCCGAUGACGUUGAAAAGCUCAAGUCAGAGAUCAGGAGAGUCAAGAUGGUGGUCUCGGCUGUGAAGGAGAGAGGGAUCAGGAACGAGUCGCUGGAUGAAUCUCUCGCUCUUCUCGUGGAGCGACUCUACGAAGCCGACGACGUGGUCGACGAGCUGGAUUACUACAGGCUCCAAGAGCUGGUUGAAGGUGCCCGGCCCCGGCUGCCUGCAGAUCCAACCGUGCUGGUUCCUUCCAACCUGCCCAUCCAAGGAGAAGGAGCUACAAGAAACGAGCCCGAAGGUAACAGUGCUGGCAAAUCACGGUCCGUGGUCUGGGAAAACUUUACAGUCACAGAAACUGUUGACAGAAAGUCCGCCAAAGCAGUAUGUAGACACUGUGGCAAUGAGUUCAAGUGUGAUACGAAGAUCAACGGUACAUCAUCUAUGAAGAAACAUUUAGAGAAGGAGCAUCCCGAUAAGAUGAAACCUCCUGGAGCGCAUCCACCAAACCCUUCAAGCACUGCUGAGCCUAUUGCCAUUGCCAGCUCAUCCAGGGGAAAAGGAAAGAAACAGCGGUCCAAGGCAUGGGAUAAUUUUGAUGUUAUAGAAAAUGACAUUGGACAGCCAACCAAAGCAAUAUGUAAAUACUGCCACACAGAGAUCAAGUGCGGAAUGAAGACCGGGACAGCGGGUAUGCUUAACCAUAACAAGAUUUGCAAGAAGAAACCUGAACCAAAUGACCAGCCACCAAACCUGUCGAGCUACAAGAAAAAGAAGGAGAGUGGAUGA